RNAcentral lists this ribosomal RNA (465 nucleotides) under uncultured bacterium. RNAcentral's name for it is "partial 16S ribosomal RNA". It matches the Rfam family "Bacterial small subunit ribosomal RNA", at positions 28 to 507 of the family's 1533-position model. The record is from RNAcentral.
GACGAACGCUGGCGGCGUGCUUAACACAUGCAAGUCGAACGGAAAGGCCCCUUUGGGGGUCCUCGAGUGGCGAACGGGUGAGUAACACGUGAGUAACCUGCCCUUGACUUCGGGAUAACUUCAGGAAACUGGGGCUAAUACCGGAUAGGAAUCCUUACGGCAUGGGGGGGGUUGGAAAGCUUCGGCGGUUUUGGGUGGAGUCGUGGCUUAUAUGCUUGUUGGUGGGGUAGUGGCUUACCAAGGCUUUGCGGGGUGGCCGGCCUGAGAGGGCGACCGGCCACAUUGGGACUGAGAUACGGCCCAGACUCCUACGGGAGGCAGCAGUGGGGAAUAUUGCACAAGGGGCGGCAGCCUGAUGCAGCAACGCCGCGGGCGGGAUGACGGCCUUCGGGUUGUAAACCGCUUUCAGCAGGGGCGAAGCUUGUGGUGACGGUACCUGCAGAAGAAGCACCGGCUAACUACGUG